Molecule: unclassified non-coding RNA, 643 nt
Filed under: Debaryomyces tyrocola
Lineage: Eukaryota; Fungi; Ascomycota; Pichiomycetes; Serinales; Debaryomycetaceae
Description: sequence contains 18S rRNA gene, ITS1, 5.8S rRNA gene, ITS2, 28S rRNA gene
Rfam family: 5.8S ribosomal RNA (bases 242-395)
Source: RNAcentral
UCGUAACAAGGUUUCCGUAGGUGAACCUGCGGAAGGAUCAUUACAGUAUUCUUUUUGCCAGCGCUUAAUUGCGCGGCGAAAAAACCUUACACACAGUGUUUUUUGUUAUUACAAGAACUUUUGCUUUGGUCUGGACUAGAAAUAGUUUGGGCCAGAGGUUACUGAACUAAACUUCAAUAUUUAUAUUGAAUUGUUAUUUAUUUAAUUGUCAAUUUGUUGAUUAAAUUCAAAAAAUCUUCAAAACUUUCAACAACGGAUCUCUUGGUUCUCGCAUCGAUGAAGAACGCAGCGAAAUGCGAUAAGUAAUAUGAAUUGCAGAUUUUCGUGAAUCAUCGAAUCUUUGAACGCACAUUGCGCCCUCUGGUAUUCCAGAGGGCAUGCCUGUUUGAGCGUCAUUUCUCUCUCAAACCUUCGGGUUUGGUAUUGAGUGAUACUCUUAGUCGAACUAGGCGUUUGCUUGAAAUGUAUUGGCAUGAGUGGUACUGGAUAGUGCUAUAUGACUUUCAAUGUAUUAGGUUUAUCCAACUCGUUGAAUAGUUUAAUGGUAUAUUUCUCGGUAUUCUAGGCUCGGCCUUACAAUAUAACAAACAAGUUUGACCUCAAAUCAGGUAGGACUACCCGCUGAACUUAAGCAUAUCAAUAA